CAGUAGCCACGGGAAUACGUAGGGUGCAAGCGUUAAUCGGAAUUACUGGGCGUAAAGCGUGCGCAGGCGGUUUGUUAAGACAGAUGUGAAAUCCCCGGGCUCAACCUGGGAACUGCAUUUGUGACUGGCAAGCUAGAGUGUGGCAGAGGGGGGUGGAAUUCCGCGUGUAGCAGUGAAAUGCGUAGAUAUGCGGAGGAACACCGAUGGCGAAGGCAGCCCCCUGGGCCAACACUGACGCUCAUGCACGAAAGCGUGGGGAGCAAACAGGAUUAGAGACCCCCGUAGUCCCUGUCUCUUAUAC
This 301-nucleotide ribosomal RNA is filed under the name uncultured bacterium. Its description in RNAcentral is "partial 16S ribosomal RNA". It matches the Rfam family "Bacterial small subunit ribosomal RNA", at positions 509 to 807 of the family's 1533-position model. The record is from RNAcentral.